This 626-nucleotide ribosomal RNA is filed under the name uncultured Verrucomicrobiota bacterium. RNAcentral's name for it is "bacterial SSU rRNA". It matches the Rfam family "Bacterial small subunit ribosomal RNA", at positions 77 to 680 of the family's 1533-position model. Lineage: Bacteria; Pseudomonadati; Verrucomicrobiota. The record is from RNAcentral.
UAGCAAUAUUCUGUAGUUGGAGCGGCGCAAGGGUGCGUAACACGUGGGUAAUCUGCCAUGAAGUUUGGGAUAACUCGCUGAAAGGCGAGCUAAUACCGGAUGUGACGAUUGGAAGGCAUCUUCCGAUCUUCAAAGUUGGGGACCGUAAGGCCUGACGCUUCAUGAUGAGCCCGCGGCCUAUCAGCUAGUUGGUGAGGUAACGGCUCACCAAGGCUAAGACGGGUAGCUGGUCUGAGAGGACGACCAGCCACACUGGAACUGAGACACGGUCCAGACACCUACGGGUGGCAGCAGUCGAGAAUUUUUCACAAUGGGGGAAACCCUGAUGGAGCGACGCCGCGUGGGGGAUGAAUGGCUUCGGCCCGUAAACCCCUGUCAUUCGCGAACAAUGCCUGUGUAUUAACACCAUACAGGUUGAUAGUAGCGGAAGAGGAAGGGACGGCUAACUCUGUGCCAGCAGCCGCGGUAAUACAGAGGUCCCAAGCGUUGUUCGGAUUCACUGGGCGUAAAGGGUGCGUAGGCGGUCGGGUAAGUCUGAUGUGAAAUCUCACAGCUUAACUGUGAAACUGCAUUGGAUACUAUUCGGCUUGAGGUCUGGAGGGGGGACUGGAAUUCACGGUGUAGCA